GAUUUCAGCAGUUGAUCCUCCUCUUAUACCUUACUUUUCGGUUCCAUCACACGAUGAGACACGAUUUUCAUGCUUUGUGGAAUCUGAGGCAGCUGGGUCGGCAGUGAUGAUCAGUUGCAAAAUGCCUGUGGAAGAGCUCAAGACAGUGAAAGAUUACCGGGAAUUGCUCACUGAAUCCAUGUUUUUUCAUGCUUUAAACCAGAGAUUUUUUAAAAUAUCUCGUAACAAAGAUCCUCCUUAUUAUUCUUGCUCGGCUGCAGCUGAUAUCCUU
RNAcentral lists this unclassified non-coding RNA (271 nucleotides) under Hevea brasiliensis (rubber tree). The record is from RNAcentral. Lineage: Eukaryota; Viridiplantae; Streptophyta; Magnoliopsida; Malpighiales; Euphorbiaceae.